RNAcentral lists this non-coding RNA (89 nucleotides) under Pseudomonas sp. bs2935. The record is from RNAcentral. Lineage: Bacteria; Pseudomonadati; Pseudomonadota; Gammaproteobacteria; Pseudomonadales; Pseudomonadaceae.
UGUAGGAGCUGGCUUGCCUGCGAUAGCGGUCUGUCAGUUGUAAAUUAACUGCCUGAAACACCGCUAUCGCAGGCAAGCCAGCUCCCACA